UACGUAGGGGGCAAGCGUUAUCCAGAAUUACUGGGUGUAAAGGGUGCGUAGGUGGUAUGGCAAGUCAGAAGUGAAAACCCAGGGCUUAACUCUGGGACUGCUUUUGAAACUGUCAGACUGGAGUGCAGGAGAGGUAAGCGGAAUUCCUAGUGUAGCGGUGAAAUGCGUAGAUAUUAGGAGGAACAUCAGUGGCGAAGGCGGCUUACUGGACUGAAACUGACACUGAGGCACGAAAGCGUGGGGAGCAAACAGG
RNAcentral lists this ribosomal RNA (253 nucleotides) under Anaerostipes hadrus ATCC 29173 = JCM 17467. RNAcentral describes it as "Anaerostipes hadrus DSM 3319 partial 16S ribosomal RNA". It matches the Rfam family "Bacterial small subunit ribosomal RNA", at positions 524 to 776 of the family's 1533-position model. Lineage: Bacteria; Bacillati; Bacillota; Clostridia; Lachnospirales; Lachnospiraceae. The record is from RNAcentral.